This is an RNA transcript of Benincasa hispida (wax gourd), 727 nucleotides long. It is a transcript of the gene named glucan endo-1,3-beta-glucosidase 11-like, with no coding region annotated. NCBI's taxonomy places the organism in Eukaryota, Viridiplantae, Streptophyta, Magnoliopsida, Cucurbitales, Cucurbitaceae. The record is from RefSeq and is a predicted model, not a curated record.
CUCCCUCUUCCUUUUCCCUAUCUCUCCCCCUCUCCUCCUCCUCACGUUACCCCUAUUAAACCCUUCCCCUUUGCACGUUGUUGCAGUCCGACCGACAUAUCCACAACCUGCAACGAUCAACGAUUGUACAACAACCACCAGCCAGCGACGACGACUGUGCUUCUUUGGCGAACGUGAGCAGUAUAACAGUAGCAUUUUGCUCCAACGAACGUGAGCAAUACGACGACGAUGCUUCACUGGCGAUGACAACAUUAGCAUUUUCUCCUAUUCAUCUCCUUAUCUUUAUCUUUCUCCAGCCUCCUCAAUUAUGGAAGGAUUACUGGAAAUUAUGCUCAGAUCGACGCUGCGUAUGCAGCAUUGGCAGAUGCUGGAUAUCAGAAAACUGAAGUCAUAGUUAUAGAGACCGGUUGGGCUUCCCAUGUGGACGAAAAGGAAGCUGCAACAACUGUGAAUAAUGCUAGGAUAUUUAAUUACAACCUUAGGAAGAGGCUUGCUAAGAAGAAAAGAACUCCCUUCAGGGCAAAGAAUGUAUUGAAGGCAUAUAUUCUCGCAACAUUCAACGAAAAUCUGAAGCCAGGGUUGACUUCUGAGAGAAAUUUUGGACUUUUUAAAGCUUAUAGGACUAUAUCAUAUGACAUUGGAUUUCAUGGACUCAGAGCUUCUUCUUCAGAUUGUAUUUAUCUCUUAAGGUAUGUAAUUCACAACAGCAUAUGAAAAAUGUUAUAUC